This 313-nucleotide unclassified non-coding RNA is filed under the name uncultured Xylaria. RNAcentral's name for it is "sequence contains ITS1". The stretch from base 1 to 105 matches the Rfam family "5.8S ribosomal RNA", at positions 50 to 154 of the family's 154-position model. The record is from RNAcentral. Lineage: Eukaryota; Fungi; Ascomycota; Sordariomycetes; Xylariales; Xylariaceae.
GAAAUGCGAUAAGUAAUGUGAAUUGCAGAAUUCAGUGAAUCAUCGAAUCUUUGAACGCACAUUGCGCCCAUUAGUAUUCUAGUGGGCAUGCCUGUUCGAGCGUCAUUUCAACCCUUAAGCCUCUGUUGCUUAGUGUUGGGAGCCUACAGCACCCCCGCUGUAGCUCCCCAAAGUUAGUGGCGGAGUCGGUCUCACGCUCUAGACGUAGUAGGUUCUUAUUCUCGUCUGUAGCUGGGCCGGUCCCCUGCCAUAAAACACCCCAAACUUCUAAAAGGUUGACCUCGGAUCAGGUAGGAAUACCCGCUGAACUUAA